This 508-nucleotide ribosomal RNA is filed under the name uncultured bacterium. Its description in RNAcentral is "partial 16S ribosomal RNA". It matches the Rfam family "Bacterial small subunit ribosomal RNA", at positions 30 to 523 of the family's 1533-position model. The record is from RNAcentral.
AUUGAACGCUGGCGGCAUGCUUAACACGUGCAAGUCGAACGGCAGCAUGGCCUGUAGCAAUACAGGCUGAUGGCGAGUGGCGGACGGGUGAGGAACGCGUAGGAAUCUGCCCUAGAGAGGGGGAUAACCCGGGGAAACUCGGGCUAAUAACGCAUAUUACUCUGAGGAGGAAAUGCUGGGUAGCAAUACCUGGCGCUUUAGGAGGAGCCUGCGUCCGAUUAGCUAGUUGGUUAGGUAAAGGCUGACCAAGGCGAUGAUCGGUAGCUGUUCUGCGAGGAAGAUCAGCCACACUGGGACUGAGACACGGCCCAGACUCCUACGGGAGGCAGCAGUGGGGAAUAUUGGACAAUGGGGGCAACCCUGAUCCAGCAAUGCCGCGUGUGUGAAGAAGGCCUUCGGGUUGUAAAGCACUUUAGGUCAAGAAGAAGGCAUGUAGUUUAAGAGAUGACAUGCUUGACAGUAUUGACAGAAUAAGCACCGGCUAACUCUGUGCCAGCCGCCGCAGUAA